RNAcentral lists this ribosomal RNA (266 nucleotides) under uncultured bacterium. Its description in RNAcentral is "partial 16S ribosomal RNA". It matches the Rfam family "Bacterial small subunit ribosomal RNA", at positions 86 to 354 of the family's 1533-position model. The record is from RNAcentral.
UGCCGGCGACCGGCGGACGGGUGCGUAACGCGUAUGUAACCACCUUUGACAGGGGGAUAACAUCGAGAAAUUGGUACUAAUACCCCAUAACAUCACCGGAGGCAUCUUCGGUGGUUGAAAACUCAGGUGGUCAGAGAUGGACAUGCGUUGUAUUAGCUAGUUGGUGAGGUAACGGCUCACCAAGGCGACGAUACAUAGGGGGACUGAGAGGUCAACCCCCCACAUUGGUACUGAGACACGGACCAAACUCCUACGGAAGGCAGCAG